UCAACAACUAUAAAUGUUUUCCAGAGGUGAGC
RNAcentral lists this non-coding RNA (32 nucleotides) under Homo sapiens (human). Lineage: Eukaryota; Metazoa; Chordata; Mammalia; Primates; Hominidae. The record is from RNAcentral.